Arachis duranensis is the source of this 983-nucleotide long non-coding RNA. RefSeq lists it as uncharacterized. The record is from RefSeq and is a predicted model, not a curated record. The transcript is spliced from 5 exons. NCBI's taxonomy places the organism in Eukaryota, Viridiplantae, Streptophyta, Magnoliopsida, Fabales, Fabaceae.
CGUUUCGUUCAGCCACCGCCACUGCCGUCAUGUGGGUGAGAGGGAGAAGCUGAGAAAGGCUCAGCCACAAGAACCAGAAGCGCGUGAGAGAGGGAAGACGCGAUCGACGAAGGGAAGGGAAAAGGGUUUCACCACCGCGGUGUCCUGCCACCACUGCUGCCUCCGAUCGGAGCCCUAGCCACCGGAGCCCCUACCGUCACCAUUGCAUGUGGGAGGAGGAGAUGAUGUUGCCAAUUCUGAUUCUGCCCAAGUCACUCAUCGUCAUUGGAAUCAUGAACUAGAGGCGGAAGGAGGCGUUCCUCCAUCGCGAGCCAGCCACCAAGCUAUGACCAAAUUGGAGACAUUGUUUCUAUUACCUUCCGUUUUAGUAAGCUUAUGAAGAAAUUGCCCUGUAUCACCUUGCUCUGCAAUUGUUUCUGAUUCAUUUAGUUUUUCAGAGUCAUUAUUGUUAUUGUUCGGCGUUACCGCCCUUGUCUAGAGCUAUUGAAUGUUUUUGCUGCGAGAAUAUUACUAGAAUCGCUGCUGCUGCCACGAAUUGGGGAUAAAGGGGAUUCCUGCGUCAAAUCUUGCUAUUGCGACAUUGAGCUGCCAAGACUCAGAAAAAGGCAAGGGCUGGAAGCGAUUUGAGUUUGACAAGGAUGCACCUCUUGAAGAUGAGGAAAUUGAAGUGGCUGAAGAUGAUGCUUCCUUGGUCAAGCAAAUUGGCCAGAGUUUCUAGUAUUCUAAGAUAGAGGCAAGAAGGGAGGAACAAAUCCAAGCUGCUCAUGACAAAGCCAUGUUUGGUGCUUCAGCACUUCCACCUCCUACCAGUACUGACAGUAAGCCUGAAAGGGAGAAUGAGAAAGAAGUUGAUAAAAAAGCUGUUGUUACAAGCCUCUUAAGUGAAACGGAGUGCUGAAAUGGUGACCAUAUGCUACCUUGAGGGCUCAAGAAUAUUUUGAUGUAUAGAGACACUAAUCUAUGUUAGAACUUUUAUGUUUUGG